RNAcentral lists this transfer RNA (62 nucleotides) under Cicadella viridis. RNAcentral's name for it is "tRNA-Glu". Lineage: Eukaryota; Metazoa; Arthropoda; Insecta; Hemiptera; Cicadellidae. The record is from RNAcentral.
AUCUAUAAAGUUUAGAAAAACAUUUUAUUUUCAUUAAAAAAUCGAGUUUAACUCUAUAGAUU